GGGCGAUUAGCUCAGUUGGGAGAGCCCCUGCCUUACAAGCAGGGGGUCACUGGUUCGAGCCCGGUAUCGCCCACCA
This 76-nucleotide transfer RNA is filed under the name Vibrio parahaemolyticus 970107. RNAcentral's name for it is "tRNA-Val". It matches the Rfam family "tRNA". From Rfam's summary of the family: Transfer RNA (tRNA) molecules are approximately 80 nucleotides in length. Their secondary structure includes four short double-helical elements and three loops (D, anti-codon, and T loops). Further hydrogen bonds mediate the characteristic L-shaped molecular structure. tRNAs have two regions of fundamental functional importance: the anti-codon, which is responsible for specific mRNA codon recognition, and the 3' end, to which the tRNAs corresponding amino acid is attached (by aminoacyl-tRNA synthetases). tRNAs cope with the degeneracy of the genetic code in two manners: having more than one tRNA (with a specific anti-codon) for a particular amino acid; and 'wobble' base-pairing, i.e. permitting non-standard base-pairing at the 3rd anti-codon position. Lineage: Bacteria; Pseudomonadati; Pseudomonadota; Gammaproteobacteria; Vibrionales; Vibrionaceae. The record is from RNAcentral.